CCUACGGGAGGCAGCAGUAGGGAAUAUUGCUCAAUGGGGGAAACCCUGAAGCAGCAACGCCGCGUGGAGGAUGAAGGUUUUCGGAUGGUAAACUCCUUGUGUUAGAGAAGAGAAUGACGGUAUCUAACGAAUAAGCACCGGCUAACUCCGUGCCAGCAGCCGCGGUAAUACGGAGGGUGCAAGCGUUACUCGGAAUCACUGGGCGUAAAGAGCGCGUAGGCGGGAUAGCAAGUAAGAUGUGAAAUCCUAUGGCUUAACCAUAGAACGGCAUUUGAAACUGUUAUUCUAGAGUAUGGGAGAGCUCGGUGUAAUUCUUGGUGUAGGGGUCCAAUCCUUAGCGAUC
This 343-nucleotide ribosomal RNA is filed under the name uncultured bacterium. RNAcentral describes it as "partial 16S ribosomal RNA". It matches the Rfam family "Bacterial small subunit ribosomal RNA", at positions 338 to 698 of the family's 1533-position model. The record is from RNAcentral.